AAAAUCCGCACGGCAUAUGAGGGUGAGACGUGAUGCCGAGCCGUAUCAGGUGAAGUGGAUGAUCCUAUGCUGCCGAGAAAAGCCUCUAGCGAUGUUGUGCGCGGCCCGUACCCUAAACCGACACAGGUGGUCAGGUAGAGAAUACCAAGGCGAUCGGGUGAACUGUGGUUAAGGAACUCGGCAAAUUGCCCCCGUAACUUAGGGAGAAGGGGGGCCACUGCUGGUGAACGGACUUGCUUCGGGAGCUGGUGGUGGUCGCAGAGAGCAGGGGGAAGCGACUGUUUACUAAAAACACAGGUCCAUGCCAAGUCGUAAGACGCUGUAUAUGGACUGACGCCUGCCCGGUGCUGGAACGUUAAAAGGACCUGUUAGCCUCUAGGGGCGAAGCGGAGAAUUGAAGCGCCAGUAAACGGCGGUGGUAACUAUAACCAUCCUAAGGUAGCGAAAUUCCUUGUCGGGUAAGUUCCGACCUGCACGAAUGGCGUAACGACUUCCCCACUGUCUCAACCACAGGCCCGGCGAAAUUGCAGUACGAGUAAAGAUGCUCGUUACGCGCGGCAGGACGGAAAGACCCCGGGACCUUCACUAUAGCUUGACAUUGGCAUUUGAAUUUAAUUGUGUAGGAUAGGUGGGAGCCUGUGAAGUGUGGACGCCAGUCCACGUGGAGGCAAUCUUGAAAUACCACUCUGUUGAAUUUGGGUGCCUAACCACGGACCCUGAUCGGGUUCUGGGACCGUGUCUGGUGGGUAGUUUAACUGGGGCGGUUGCCUCCUAAAAGGUAACGGAGGCGCCCAAAGGUUCCCUCAGCCUGGUUGGCAAUCAGGUGUUGAGUGUAAGUGCACAAGGGAGCUUGACUGUGAGACUGACAGGUCGAGCAGGGACGAAAGUCGGGACUAGUGAUCCGGCACCGGCAUGUGGAAGCGGUGUCGCUCAACGGAUAAAAGGUACCCCGGGGAUAACAGGCUGAUCUUCCCCAAGAGUCCAUAUCGACGGGAUGGUUUGGCACCUCGAUGUCGGCUCGUCGCAUCCUGGGGCUGGAGUAGGUCCCAAGGGUUGGGCUGUUCGCCCAUUAAAGCGGUACGCGAGCUGGGUUUAGAACGUCGUGAGACAGUUCGGUCCCCAUCCGCCGCGCGCGUAGGAAACUUGAGAAGGGCUGUCCCUAGUACGAGAGGACCGGGACGGACGAACCUCUAGUGUGCCAGUUAUCCCGCCAGGGGUACGGCUGGUUAGCCACGUUCGGAAGGGAUAACCGCUGAAAGCAUCUAAGCGGGAAGCCUGCUUCAAGACCACGUUUCCCACCCGUACAGCAAUGUGCGGGGUAAGGCCCCCGGCCAGACCACCGGGUAGACAGGCCAGAUGUGUAAGCCCAGCAAUGGGUUCAGCUGACUGGUACUGAUAGGCCGAGGACUUCACA
RNAcentral lists this ribosomal RNA (1414 nucleotides) under metagenome. RNAcentral's name for it is "bacterial LSU rRNA". It matches the Rfam family "Bacterial large subunit ribosomal RNA", at positions 1537 to 2925 of the family's 2925-position model. The record is from RNAcentral.